Long non-coding RNA from Physeter macrocephalus (sperm whale), 865 nucleotides. RefSeq lists it as uncharacterized. The transcript is spliced from 2 exons. NCBI's taxonomy places the organism in Eukaryota, Metazoa, Chordata, Mammalia, Artiodactyla, Physeteridae. The record is from RefSeq and is a predicted model, not a curated record.
GUAUCUGGAUCGGUCACUCAGGCUCUGGGAAGAGGCUCCAAACUCCAGGGCAGCUGUUGGUAAACUACAGCCCGGAAGGCCGAGUCCUGUAUUCUGAGAACACAGCCGAGCUGCUUCAGUUAUGUAUCGUCAAUGGUUGCUUUAUCAAGAUGGACAGUUGCAACAGAGACCACGUGGCCUGCAAAGUCUGAAACGUUUCCUCUCUCUGUGGAAAAGGUUUGGGAAGCCCUGCUCUAUGCCGUGGCAGGCAGUUUUCUGGGAUGUGGUUCAGGCCUGGCCUGGUCUGUACGUGCUGAGAAGGUAAGGCUGGGCUCCGAAGCCGCAUCUCCAGAAGCUAACGUCCAUCUCAGGUGCUGGAAAUCUGCUUGGUCACGUGUGCGUAGGAGCGCACCACGACCGCGGACUUGUGGCUCCGGUGGUCACAUUAAAUUUAACUCCUUUCCAGGCUUGGAAAUGAGCUGAACCCACUCAGUGCAAGCAUCCUGAAAUCCUCCCUUCCCAUCAUAUUCCUGAGAAACUGGUGAUGUGUUCUUGCCUAAUGAAAGUGAAUCCAUAGUUUGGCAUUGGUACUACUACUUCUUCUCUGCGACUUUGUGCUUAUACUGUGAUUUGUUUUAAAACCCUUUUGCAUUAUUAGACAUUAUUUGCAAUUAUAAAGAUAAAAAGAAACAUUUCAAGUAUUAGCUUAUUUGACCUCUUUGAAAUGAUCACAUUUUCUUCCUCAAAAUUCUUUUGGAUCCACAGCAGCAUUUCAUGUUGUUUCUACCCUGUCCUGGUUGACUGUUCCUUUUCAAUCUCACGUAUGAAGUCCUCUGGCUCUGCUUCUGCUUUAUUCAUUUUAAAAAUAAAUUAUUUAUUUUUGGUA